Molecule: ribosomal RNA, 251 nt
Filed under: uncultured prokaryote
Description: partial 16S ribosomal RNA
Rfam family: Bacterial small subunit ribosomal RNA
Source: RNAcentral
ACAGAGGCGGCAAGCGUUGUUCGGAAUUAUUGGGCGUAAAGAGCAUGUAGGCGGCUAUGUAAGUCGGUUGUGAAAGCCUUCCGCUUAACGGAAGAAUGGCGGUCGAAACUGCAUGGCUUGAGUGCGGGAGGGGAGAGUGGAACUUCUGGUGGAGCGGUGAAAUGCGUAGAUAUCAGAAGGAACGUCGGCGGCGAAGGCGACACGCUGGGCCUGGCCUGACGCUCAGACGCGAAAGCAUGGGAAGCGAACGG